Molecule: ribosomal RNA, 483 nt
Filed under: uncultured bacterium
Lineage: Bacteria
Description: partial 16S ribosomal RNA
Rfam family: Bacterial small subunit ribosomal RNA
Source: RNAcentral
GACGAACGCUGGCGGCGUGCUUAACACAUGCAAGUCGAACGCUGAAGCUCAGCUUUUGUUGGGUGGAUGAGUGGCGAACGGGUGAGUAACACGUGAGUGACCUGCCCCCUUCUUUGGGAUAACGCCCGGAAACGGGUGCUAAUACUGGAUAUUCACUGGUCUUCGCAUGGGGGUUGGUGGAAAGGGUUUUUCUGGUGGGGGAUGGGCUCGCGGCCUAUCAGCUUGUUGGUGGGGUGAUGGCCUACCAAGGCUUUGACGGGUAGCCGGCCUGAGAGGGUGACCGGUCACAUUGGGACUGAGAUACGGCCCAGACUCCUACGGGAGGCAGCAGUGGGGAAUAUUGCACAAUGGGCGCAAGCCUGAUGCAGCGACGCCGCGUGAGGGAUGGAGGCCUCCGGGUUGUGAACCUCUUUCGCUCAUGGUCAAGCCGCAACAAUGGUUGUGGUGAGGGUAGUGGGUAAAGAAGCGCCGGCUAACUACGUG